Molecule: ribosomal RNA, 643 nt
Filed under: Agaricus subrufescens
Lineage: Eukaryota; Fungi; Basidiomycota; Agaricomycetes; Agaricales; Agaricaceae
Description: partial large subunit ribosomal RNA
Rfam family: Eukaryotic large subunit ribosomal RNA
Source: RNAcentral
UGAACUUAAGCAUAUCAAUAAGCGGAGGAAAAGAAACUAACAAGGAUUCCCCUAGUAACUGCGAGUGAAGCGGGAAAAGCUCAAAUUUAAAAUCUGGCGGUCUCUGGCCGUCCGAGUUGUAAUCUAGAGAAGUAAUGCCCGUGCUGGACCGUGUAUAAGUCUCCUGGGAUGGGGCGUCAUAGAGGGUGAGAAUCCCGUCUUUGACACGGACUACCAGUGCAUUGUGGUAUGCUCUCAAAGAGUCGAGUUGUUUGGGAAUGCAGCUCAAAAUGGGUGGUAAAUUCCAUCUAAAGCUAAAUAUUGGCGAGAGACCGAUAGCGAACAAGUACCGUGAGGGAAAGAUGAAAAGAACUUUGGAAAGAGAGUUAAACAGUACGUGAAAUUGCUGAAAGGGAAACGCUUGAAGUCAGUCGCGUUGGCCAGGGAUCAGCCUUGCUUUUGCAUGGUGUACUUUCUGGUUGAUGGGUCAGCAUCAAUUUUGACCGCUGGAAAAAGACCUGGGGAAUGUGGCAGCUUCGGCUGUGUUAUAGCCCCUAGUCGCAUACAGUGGUUGGGAUUGAGGAACUCAGCACGCCGCAAGGCCGGGUUUCGACCACGUUCGUGCUUAGGAUGCUGGCAUAAUGGCUUUAAGCGACCCGUCUUG